GAUGAACGCUAGCGGCAGGCCUAAUACAUGCAAGUCGAACGGUAAGGCCCUUUCGGGGGUACACGAGUGGCGGACGGGUGCGUAACGCGUAUGCAACAUGCCUUCCAGCGGGGGAUAUACCAGGGAAACUUGGCGCAAUACCCCAUAGAAUUACGGGACCGCAUGGUCUUGUGAUUAAAACUCCGGUGCUGGGAGAUUGGCAUGCGUGACAUUAGCUAGUUAGCGGGGUAACGGCCUACCAAGGGUACGAUGGGUAGCUGGUCUGAGAGGAUGAUCAGCCACACUGGGACUGAGACACGGCCCAGACUCCUACGGGAGGCAGCAGUGGGGGAAUAUUGGACAAUGGGGGAAACCCUGAUCCAGCUACGCCGCGUGGGUGAUGAAGGCCUUCGGUUGUAAG
This 400-nucleotide ribosomal RNA is filed under the name uncultured bacterium. RNAcentral describes it as "bacterial SSU rRNA". It matches the Rfam family "Bacterial small subunit ribosomal RNA", at positions 28 to 429 of the family's 1533-position model. The record is from RNAcentral.